This is a non-coding RNA of Acomys russatus (golden spiny mouse), 399 nucleotides long. The record is from the annotation of a RefSeq genome assembly. Lineage: Eukaryota; Metazoa; Chordata; Mammalia; Rodentia; Muridae.
AUGGAGAAGCUCCUAAUUGUCUGCUGGGUGGUUUUAUGGCCGUAUUUCCAGUGGGUGGCUGGCAAGACCCAAGUGCAGCAGAAUCCACAGUCCCUGGUUGUCCCUGAGGGAGAGAACUGUGUCCUUCAAUGCAAUUACACUGUGAGACCCUUUAACAACUUGAGGUGGUACAAACAAGAGGCAGGCAGAGGUCCAGUGUCCCUGGCAGUCCUGACUGACAGCAAGAACAAAAUAUCAAAGGGAAGAUACUCAGCAAGUCUGGACGCAGAUGCUAAGCACAGCACCCUGCACAUCACAGCCUCUCUGUUGGAUGACACUGCUGCCUACAUCUGUGUGGUGGGCGCACCGUGCUCCCCAGAUACGCACAGCCAGUACCAAAACCUGAUGCUGGAGUCUUGA